UGGGCGUAAGCGCGCGCAGGCGGUGAUGUAAGUCUGAGGUGAAAACCCGAAGCUCAACUUCGGGACUGCCUUGGAUACUGCGUCACUUGAGGAUAGGAGAGGCAAGGGGAAUUCCACGUGUAGCGGUGAAAUGCGUAGAGAUGUGGAGGAACACCUGUGGCGAAGGCGCCUUGCUGGCCUAUUUCUGACGCUGAGGCGCGAAAGCGUGGGGAGCAAACAGGAUUAGAUACCCUGGUAGUCCACGCUGUAAACGAUGAGUGCUAGGUGUAGGUGGGCUCAUACCCAUCUGUGCCGAAGCUAACGCAUUAAGCACUCCGCCUGGGGAGUACGGUCGCAAGACUGAAACUCAAAGGAAUUGACGGGGGCCCGCACAAGCAGUGGAGCAUGUGGUUUAAUUCGAAGCAACGCGAAGAACCUUACCAGGACUUGACAUCCCAUAGACCAGUCUAGAGAUAGACUUUCCCUUCGGGGCUGUGGUGACAGGUGGUGCAUGGUUGUCGUCAGCUCGUGUCGUGAGAUGUUGGGUUAAGUCCCGCAACGAGCGCAACCCUUACUUUGUGUUGCCAGCAUUCAGUUGGGCACUCACAAGGGACUGCCGCCGAUAAGGCGGAGGAAGGUGGGGAUGACGUCAAAUCAUCAUGCCCCUUAUGUCCUGGGCUACACACGUGCUACAAUGGGCGGUACAACGGGAUGCGAAGCCGCGAGGUGGAGCCAAACCCUGAAAACCGUUCGUAGUUCGGAUUGUAGGCUGCAACUCGCCUACAUGAAGCCGGAAUUGCUAGUAAUCGCGGAUCAGCAUGCCGCGGUGAAUCCGUUCCCGGGCCUUGUACACACCGCCCGUCACACCACGAGAAUGGGCAACACCCGAA
RNAcentral lists this ribosomal RNA (869 nucleotides) under uncultured Tumebacillus sp. Its description in RNAcentral is "bacterial SSU rRNA". It matches the Rfam family "Bacterial small subunit ribosomal RNA", at positions 555 to 1425 of the family's 1533-position model. Lineage: Bacteria; Bacillati; Bacillota; Bacilli; Caryophanales; Alicyclobacillaceae. The record is from RNAcentral.